AUACCUUUCUCGGCCUUUUGGCUAAGAUCAAGUGUAGUAUCUGUUUUUAUCAGUUUAAUAUCUGAUACGUGGAUCAUCGGUCUACACGAUAUUAACUUUAUUUUUUAAGGGAAAAAAUGCAAUAAGUUAGCUUGCUAACUGGGUUUUCACGAGUCGCCUAUGUGUUGCACUGCAACAUAGGCUUGGCUCAACCCUU
RNAcentral lists this small nuclear RNA (196 nucleotides) under Brassica napus (rape). RNAcentral's name for it is "snRNA U2". It matches the Rfam family "U2 spliceosomal RNA". From Rfam's summary of the family: U2 is a small nuclear RNA (snRNA) component of the spliceosome (involved in pre-mRNA splicing). Complementary binding between U2 snRNA (in an area lying towards the 5' end but 3' to hairpin I) and the branchpoint sequence (BPS) of the intron results the bulging out of an unpaired adenosine, on the BPS, which initiates a nucleophilic attack at the intronic 5' splice site, thus starting the first of two transesterification reactions that mediate splicing. Lineage: Eukaryota; Viridiplantae; Streptophyta; Magnoliopsida; Brassicales; Brassicaceae. The record is from Rfam by way of RNAcentral.